Photinus pyralis (common eastern firefly) is the source of this 837-nucleotide long non-coding RNA. RefSeq lists it as uncharacterized. The record is from RefSeq and is a predicted model, not a curated record. The transcript is spliced from 2 exons. NCBI's taxonomy places the organism in Eukaryota, Metazoa, Arthropoda, Insecta, Coleoptera, Lampyridae.
ACAUCACAACGGGUCUUUUUAUUUUUAAUGUACUUUGUGGAUCAGAAAUAAAAAAUCAAGGCGGGAUGACCCCAUUGUUAUAUGUAAUGUGUCACACUACGAUACAUCACUAAUGAGAUAUCCGCCAUAACUGUAAAGCCCAUCACACAAUGAAAAACAUAAGGAAUAGGAAAUAUGAAAUAGUGACGUCGUAACACGCAAAACACAACAAACAAAUAGCAACAGACUAUGUUAACAAUAACAAGCUUCGGUCAAAAUCGAAAACGUAGGACGAUGGGUGUAUACAGAGCGUGCCAUAUUUUUGUUGCCGGAACGGUAUCAAACACGUGACUUCUGCAUUGAGGUUAAAUCGAGGCAAUUUUAGAAACAAUGCAUGGGAUGUUCGCUGUGGCACAAUGCCGCUUCCGGGUAUUAACGUCCUUGCAAAAAUCAGAUUCAACAGCGACCAAUAGUAUUCUUAACAGCGCAGACAUGUUAUCUGUGGUAAUAGGUGUACAGUCGGACUUUAUGUAGACACAGCCAAAAGAUGCUUGGUAGUCUCGACCAACCCAGCGUCUACUUUAGUCCACUCGCUAAACAAAGUAUUAAAAUAAAUCGAAAAAACAUAGAAAUAUUUUAUUAGUUCUAUAAAUUACACGGACUCCUGUACAGGUGGUUCAUAACCUUCAGGUCGAUCUACUUUACUUCCAACUUCCGCCGGUUCAGAAGACGACGUCUUGCCUCCCUCGCCGUGUAACUCGAGCAGCUUUGACAAUUCAAACCUGGGCUUCUUCAAUACUUUCACCUUGCGAAUGUAAACGUCGUGUAACGGAUAAAUUCCCUGACACGCCUUUUCAA